UGCAAAACGGGGUGAAAACAAUAACUUCCCAAUUUUUGAAAAUCUUCGAUUUUCUUAGCGGGAAGUUAAAAAUACGAGAAAAAUGUGAUUUCUUCAGCUGAAAAAGAAUAUUGUUGAAAAUUUUCAACAAUUUAAAUUCUUGUAACAAGAGUAUUCUUUUUUCUCAAGAGUAAUUUUUUCUCUCAUUGUAAUUCAACAUUUGAAAACGAUUAAAAAUUAUAACGGUCUUUUAAUCCUGCCAUUCGCUUCAUUCAUAUUUUAAAACUUGAUGAGCACAUCACCCCUUAUUGACGUAAACAAGCCUGGUUGUCUAUUAAAAGCUGUCGUAUUUAUUAUCUUUCUUAGUAUUUUUUAUAAAUUACUGUAUUUAGAUAAAUCCUGUUACUUACGUGAAUUGUUCAUUGAAGAUAUUGAUGUUAGGCACUCUUAAAGAUUACCAGCAAAGAGAAAUAGUGAACUUUGAAGUAUCGAAAUUCUCUACAAAUUACUGAGUUCUCAUUUGUUAUAUUCUAUUCGACUCUGGGAAGAAUUACCAAUUGAUAUAGUGAACGCAUCCAGUAUCGAAAUUUAAAAAAACAACAUAUGUGACUAUUUACUCAACUAAGAUCUUAAACUUAAUUAAUAUAAAUUAUUCUAAGCUCAAUUGUUAUAUUUCACUUUAAUUAAAAACCUUUCACUCUUUUUAUUAGUAAAUUAAGUACGUCAAGUACAUCAAACACCUGUUAAUAUUGUUUCAGUACUUUAAAAUAUUGAUCUUUAGAUAGACUAAAUGAAGUUUAAUGAGAUACUUAGAAUGAGUUAUAACUAUUUUAUGUUAUAUUUACUCUACGUAAAGAUUAUCAUAUAUUUAAAUUGUUAAAUAUUUAUAUUUUGCUUGCCAUCUAACCAAAUGGCCUUGGUAUAUAUAAAUGAUUGAUCUAUUUAUCUACUUUUUGCAAAUUUUGAAUGCAUUAAAUUAUAAAAGGGGAUAGUCACUGUGAUGGCCAAAAAAAUAAGUGAUUUUCGGGAAUUUUUUGACUGGGAAAAUAAACAAAAUUUGGGGAUCAGGUUUUUUUUGUUCUAUUAAAUGUUCAUUGAAGAUUAAUAUUCUAAAUUUGUAUCAAGAAAUAUCAAAUUGUUACAAAGUUAUUAACAUUCUUGACCAUCCCCAAAAAAUUCUUCCUCCAUGGUUGCAUUGUUCCUUCGAAAAAGGGUCAUCCGAGAAAAAAAUUUUAGUUAGGUUAUUUAUUUAUUUAUUUAUUUAUUCAAACGCCAAUUGACUUUAUACAUUAAGUUUACAUACAAGUAAAUUUUAACUUUAGGCGAAAAAAAGAAUAAAAGCAUUAACAUUUUAUUAGGAUUUAAUUAAAAUUAAAUUAAUUUCAUUUACUUUAUAAUUGUAACUUAGUAACAGUAUACAAACAAUAUUCCUGAGAAUAAUUAUUACAAAAAGAUGAAAUUGCACUUUUUAACAGAUUAGUGGUGAUUGGUUGGAAGUAGCCGUUUAUUAACCGAUGAUACGAACGAUGUGAUCGAAGUAUCAAAUAAUUCGAGGUUUGAGCAAUUAUCGUUGAUUAGAUUAGCGAUCCUAUUUCUCGGGCUAUUAUAUAAAUAACUCUUGGUAGUUUUAAUUGUCUCUAUUAAUCGAUUUGAGUCAAUGUGCCCAUUAAUGAUUUUGAAUGCAAAGAUUAUGUCUGAUAUUUGUCUUCUCUGGGAAUGUUUGUUGAUCUGGAAGUUACUGUAGGCUUCCUGAACUGUACACAUAAACGUACGAUUUACUAGAAGUUUGCACAGUUUAAGUAUUAGUGUUCUUUCGUUCUUGAAGUCAUUACCACUUGAUCUAAUUAUGUAUCCUAGAGUUUUAUAUGCCUUUGAUACUGUUUAGUCUACAUGCUCAUUGAAGCUUAACUUGGUAUCAACUAGCACACCUAGGUCUUUCAUGACAAUAGAUUUAGGUAGCAGCUGGCCAUUUAUAUUGUAGUCAAUUUGAAAGAGUCCAUGAUAUCUAGUAAACAUAGUAAUAAUCUGUAUGAAUUUGGUUAUCGCUGCACCUUACUGAUUUUUUUUAUUUUGAUUUGAAAAAAAAAAAAAUGGCGAGUAAUUGAAAAUUUUUUUGGCCUUCUUUUUGGAUUUAAACGGCCUUAAAAAAUUUU
Long non-coding RNA from Cotesia glomerata, 2132 nucleotides. RefSeq lists it as uncharacterized. NCBI's taxonomy places the organism in Eukaryota, Metazoa, Arthropoda, Insecta, Hymenoptera, Braconidae. The record is from RefSeq and is a predicted model, not a curated record. The transcript is spliced from 2 exons.